AGGAACCCCAGCAAUCCUGUCUGCACGUGACCACAUAAUGGCCACCUGGGAAAGCCGUGUCAACCUCUUACAAAAAUGAAGGAGAGAGAACCAGAGUGGUCAGCAAAGCGACUUCAGCCAUGCAUUUUUAUUCAGUCGGCCGGAUGGAGGCUGUGAAUGUAGGAAUGCCGGAUGCAACUCUAUACGCUAUGCCUUAGAAAAUGAAAGGGGGAAAAUGAAGGUUUGGACACUGUUACUUGACCCUGCUGAGCAGCAACCAUGGAAGCAGGAAGUGAAGAAGUGACUACAGUAAUCCAGGUAGGAGAGGACAGUUGCUUGGGCCCAGGGGGCAGUGAAGGGGGCAAGAAGUGAUGGAUUCCAGAUGGAUCCGAAGGCACAGCAUUUGCUGUUGGAUUGGCUACUGAUGAAACCCUUGAGGGCAAAAGGAAUUCAUCCAUCUCCUUGGCACUGGGUACAGCGCUACAGACAGUGGGGAUGCUAGAAAAACUACAACUAUUUAAGCUGGAAGCACAGAACACUGAUUUUGGUUCUUAAUGUCAACAGACAUGAGGUGGAGGUGUAGAAACAUAAACAGCUCACAGCUAUGAAGAUUAAGCCAACAACAAAAAAAAAUGGCGUACCUCUUCAGAUCUGGUUCAGUGGACCUUUUGCACAAGUAUGAUUUCUGCA
This is a long non-coding RNA of Molossus molossus (Pallas's mastiff bat), 669 nucleotides long. RefSeq lists it as uncharacterized. The record is from RefSeq and is a predicted model, not a curated record. Lineage: Eukaryota; Metazoa; Chordata; Mammalia; Chiroptera; Molossidae. The transcript has 5 exons.